UACGUAGGUGGCAAGCGUUGUCCGGAUUUACUGGGCGUAAAGAGCGCGCAGGCGGUCGUUCAAGUCGCGUGUGAAAGCCCCCGGCUCAACUGGGGAGGGUCACGCGAUACUGAUCGACUCGAAGGCAGGAGAGGGAAGUGGAAUUCCCGGUGUAGUGGUGAAAUGCGUAGAUAUUCGGAGGAACACCAGUGGCGAAGGCGGCUCACUGGUCCGGUACUGACGCUGAGGUGCGAAAGCGUGGGGAGCAAACAGG
RNAcentral lists this ribosomal RNA (253 nucleotides) under uncultured bacterium. RNAcentral describes it as "partial 16S ribosomal RNA". It matches the Rfam family "Bacterial small subunit ribosomal RNA", at positions 524 to 776 of the family's 1533-position model. The record is from RNAcentral.